RNAcentral lists this ribosomal RNA (440 nucleotides) under uncultured bacterium. Its description in RNAcentral is "partial 16S ribosomal RNA". It matches the Rfam family "Bacterial small subunit ribosomal RNA", at positions 338 to 795 of the family's 1533-position model. The record is from RNAcentral.
CCUACGGGAGGCAGCAGUGGGGAAUCUUGCACAAUGGGGGGAACCCUGAUGCAGCGACGCCGCGUGAGUGAAGAAGUAUUUCGGUAUGUAAAGCUCUAUCAGCAGGGAAGAAAAUGACGGUACCUGACUAAGAAGCCCCGGCUAACUACGUGCCAGCAGCCGCGGUAAUACGUAGGGGGCAAGCGUUAUCCGGCUUUACUGGGGGUAAAGGGAGCGCAGACGGCUGUGCAAGUCUGGAGUGAAAGGCUGGGGCUCAAACCCCGGACUGCUCUGGAAACUGUAAAGCGGGAGUGCAGGAGAGGUAAGCGGAAUUCCUAGUGUAGCGGUGAAAUGCGUAGAUAUUAGGAGGAACACCAGUGGCGAAGGCGGCUUACUGGACUGCAACUGACGUUGAGGCUCGAAAGCGUGGGGAGCAAACAGGAUUAGAUACCCGAGUAGUC